UGAGGAAUAUUGGUCAAUGGACGGAAGUCUGAACCAGCCAAGUAGCGUGCAGGAAGACGGCCCUAUGGGUUGUAAACUGCUUUUGUAUGGGGAUAAAGUCAAUCACGUGUGAUUGUUUGCAGGUACCAUACGAAUAAGGACCGGCUAAUUCCGUGCCAGCAGCCGCGGUAAUACGGAAGGUUCGGGCGUUAUCCGGAUUUAUUGGGUUUAAAGGGAGCGUAGGCCGGAGAUUAAGUGUGUUGUGAAAUGUAGACGCUCAACGUCUGACUUGCAGCGCAUACUGGUUUCCUUGAGUACGCACAACGUUGGCGGAAUUCGUCGUGUAGCGGUGAAAUGCUUAGAUAUGACGAAGAACUCCGAUUGCGAAGGCAGCUGACGGGAGCGCAACUGACGCUGAAGCUCGAAGGUGCGGGUAUCGAACAGGAUUAGAUACCCUGGUAGUCCGCACAGUAAACGAUGGAUGCCCGCUGUUGGCACCUAGUAUCAGCGGCUAAGCGAAAGCAUUAAGCAUCCCACCUGGGGAGUACGCCGGCNACGGU
RNAcentral lists this ribosomal RNA (539 nucleotides) under uncultured bacterium. RNAcentral's name for it is "bacterial SSU rRNA". It matches the Rfam family "Bacterial small subunit ribosomal RNA", at positions 355 to 895 of the family's 1533-position model. The record is from RNAcentral.